GUCCGCGCGGACUCGGAAUGGUCCCAGACUUUGCGGGCGGCCUCCGUGUGCCAAAAUUAGGCCACGGGCACAGCCGCGCCCAAAAAUCAGCCCCCGAAGGUCGGGGCGCCAAGACCCCCCAGCGGAAAAAUGGCCAAAAAACGGGUGGGCUAUAGCCUUGGUGGGGGGCGUGGGCGAAGUUCGUCCGCCGGACUCGGAAUGGCCCCAGACUUUGCGGGCGGCCUCCGUGUGCCACAAAUACGCCACGGGCACAGCUGCGCCCAAAAAUCAGCCCCCGAUGGUCGGGGUGCCAAGACCCCCCAACGGAAAAAUGGCCAAAAAACGGGUGGGCUAUACCCUUGGUGGGGGGCGUGGGCGAAGUUCGUCCGCGCGGACUCGGAAUGGCCCCAGACUUUGCGGGCGGCCUCCGUGUGCCAAAAUUAGGCCACGGGCACAGCCGCGCCCAAAAAUCAGCCCCCGAAGGUCGGGGCGCCAAGACCCCCCAGCGGAAAAAUGGCCAAAAAACGGGUGGGCUAUAGCCUUGGUGGGGGGCGUGGGCGAAGUUCGUCCGCCGGACUCGGAAUGGCCCCAGACUUUGCGGGCGUCCUCCGUGUGCCAAAAUUAGGCCACGGGCACAGCCGUGCCCAAAAAUCAGCCCCCGAAGGUCGGGGCGCCAAGACGCCCCAGCGGAAGAAUGGCCAAAAAACGGGCUGGUAUUGCCUUGGUGGGGGGCGUGGGCGAAGUUCGUCCGCCGGACUCGGAAUGGCCCCAGACUUUGCGGGCGGCCUCCGUGUGCCAAAAAUAGGCCACGGGCACAGAUGCGCGCAAAAAUCAGCCCCCGAAGGUCGGGGCGCCAAGACCCCCCAGCGGAAAAAUGGCCAAAAAACGGAUGGGCUAUAGCCUUGGUGGGGGGCGUGGGCGACGUUCGUCCGCCGGACUCGGAAUGGCCCCAGACUUUGCGGGCGGCCUCCGUGUGCCAAAAUUAGGCCACGGGCACAGCUGCGUGCAAAAAUCAGCCACCGACGGUCGGGGCGCCAAGACCCCCCAGCGGAAAAUGACCAAAAAACGGGAGGGCUAUAGCCNNNNNNNNNNNNNNNNNNNNNNNNNNNNNNNNNNNNNNNNNNNNNNNNNNNNNNNNNNNNNNNNNNNNNNNNNNNNNNNNNNNNNNNNNNNNNNNNNNNNNNNNNNNNNNNNNNNCACCGACGGUCGGGGCGCCAAGACCCCCCAGCGGAAAAUGGCCAAAAAACGGGAGGGCUAUAGCCUUGGUGGGGGGCGUGGGCGAAAUUCGUCCGCCGGACUCGGAAUGGCCCCAGACUUUGCGGGCGUCCUCCGUGUGCCAAAAUUAGGGCCACGGGCACAGCGUACCCAAAAAUCAGCCCCCGAAGGUCGGGGCGCAAGACGCCCCAGCGGAAGAAUGGCCAAAAAACGGGCUGGUAUUGCUUGGUGGGGGGCGUGGGCGAAGUUCGUCCGCCGGACUCGGAAUGGCCCCAGACUUUGCGGGCGGCCUCCGUGAGCCAAAAAUAGGCCACGGGCACAGCUGCGCGCAAAAAUCAGCCCCCGAAGGUCGGGGCGCCAAGACCCCCCAGCGGAAAAAUGGCCAAAAAAUGGGCUGGUAUUGCCUUGGUGGGGGGCGUGGGCGAAGUUCGUCCGCCGGACUCGGAAUGGCCCCAGACUUUGCGGGCGGCCUCCGUGUGCCAAAAAUAGGCCACGGGCACAGCUGCGCGCAAAAAUCAGCCCCCGAAGGUCGGGGCGCCAAGACCCCCCAGCGGAAAAAUGGCCAAAAAACGGGUGGGCUAUAGCCUUGGUGGGGGGCGUGGGCGAAGUUCGUCCGCCGGACUCGGAAUGGCCCCAGACUUUGCGGGCGGCCUCCGUGUGCCACAAAUACGCCACGGGCACAGCUGCGCCCAAAAAUCAGCCCCCGAUGGUCGGGGUGCCAAGACCCCCCAACGGAAAAAUGGCCAAAAAACGGGUGGGCUAUAGCCUUGGUGGGGGGCGUGGGCGACGUUCGUCCGCCGGACUCGGAAUGGCCCCAGACUUUGCGGGCGGCCUCUGUGUGCCAAAAAUAGGCCACGGGACAGCCGCGCCCAAAAAUCAGCCCCCGAAGGUCGGGGUGCCAAGACCCCCCAGAGGAAAAAUGGCCAAAAAACGGGUGGGCUAUAGCCUUGGUGGGGGGCGUGGGCGAAGUUCGUCCGCCGGACUCGGACUGGCCCCAGACUUUGCGGGCGGCCUCCGUUGGCCAAUAUUAGGCAACGGGCACAGCCGCGCCCAAAAAUCAUCCCCCGAAGGUCGGGGUGCCAAGACCCCCCAGCGGAAAAAUGGACAAAAAACGGGCUGGUAUUGCCUUGGUGGGGGGCGUGGGCGAAGUUCGUCCGCCGGACUCGGAAUGGCCCCAGACUUUGCGUGCGGCCUCCGUGUGCCAAAAAUAGGCCACGGGCACAGCUGCGCGCAAAAAUCAGCCCCCGAAGGUCGGGGCGCCAAGACCCCCCAGCGGAAAAAUGGCCAAAAAACGGGUGGGCUAUAGCCUUGGUGGGGGGCGUGGGCGACGUUCGUCCGCCGGACUCGGAAUGGCCCCAGACUUUGCGGGCGGCCUCUGUGUGCCAAAAAUAGGCCACGGGACAGCCGCGCCCAAAAAUCAGCCCCCGAAGGUCGGGGUGCCAAGACCCCCCAGAGGAAAAAUGGCCAAAAAACGGGUGGGCUAUAGCCUUGGUGGGGGGCGUGGGCGAAGUUCGUCCGCCGGACUCGGACUGGCCCCAGACUUUGCGGGCGGCCUCCGUUGGCCAAUAUUAGGCAACGGGCACAGCCGCGCCCAAAAAUCAUCCCCCGAAGGUCGGGGUGCCAAGACCCCCCAGCGGAAAAAUGGCCAAAAAACGGGCUGGUAUUGCCUUGGUGGGGGGCGUGGGCGAAGUUCGUCCGCCGGACUCGGAAUGGCCCCAGACUUUGCGGGCGGCCUCCGUGUGCCACAAAUACGCCACGGGCACAGCUGCGCCCAAAAAUCAGCCCCCGAUGGUCGGGGUGCCAAG
Molecule: long non-coding RNA, 2999 nt
Filed under: Citrus x clementina
Lineage: Eukaryota; Viridiplantae; Streptophyta; Magnoliopsida; Sapindales; Rutaceae
Description: Citrus clementina (C. clementina) long non-coding RNA (CCLE_LNC006057)
Source: RNAcentral